This 480-nucleotide ribosomal RNA is filed under the name uncultured bacterium. RNAcentral describes it as "partial 16S ribosomal RNA". It matches the Rfam family "Bacterial small subunit ribosomal RNA", at positions 30 to 505 of the family's 1533-position model. The record is from RNAcentral.
AUUGAACGCUGGCGGCAUGCCUUACACAUGCAAGUCGAACGGUAACAGGUCUUCGGAUGCUGACGAGUGACGAACGGGUGAGUAAUACAUCGGAACGUGCCCGAUCGUGGGGGAUAACGCAGCGAAAGCUGUGCUAAUACCGCAUACGAUCUACGGAUGAAAGCGGGGGAUCGCAAGACCUCGCGCGGACGGAGCGGCCGAUGGCAGAUUAGGUAGUUGGUGGGAUAAAAGCUUACCAAGCCGACGAUCUGUAGCUGGUCUGAGAGGACGACCAGCCACACUGGGACUGAGACACGGCCCAGACUCCUACGGGAGGCAGCAGUGGGGAAUUUUGGACGAUGGGCGCAAGCCUGAUCCAGCCAUGCCGCGUGCAGGAUGAAGGCCUUCGGGUUGUAAACUGCUUUUGUACGGAACGAAAAAGCCCUCUCUAAUACAGGGGGUGAAUGACGGUACCGUAAGAAUAAGCACCGGCUAACUACG